UACCAGUUCUUUUGACAGUUCUACCCUCCA
Molecule: non-coding RNA, 30 nt
Filed under: Rattus norvegicus (Norway rat)
Lineage: Eukaryota; Metazoa; Chordata; Mammalia; Rodentia; Muridae
Source: RNAcentral